GGGGAGUUUCUCAGAAGGGACAGGUUGGAUCCUUCUGGGAGGAUUCUGACAGCCCUCAGCCCCCUCAGGCCAGAGCUGGGGUUGGUUAUUUUAAAGUGAGAAUCAAGAACAACUUAAUGAGCCUCAGAACUGGGUUACUGAUGGCACCAGAUGGGCAACCCUAGCACACCUGUGCAUGGCAUUAAGGCUCACCGCUGUUCCAGUCCCAGCCAGCUGCAUCUAGGAUCCAGGGUCCCGUCCCAGCACAGCGUGUUCUCUUGUGGCGGUCCCUCUUUCACCAUGCUUCCGGCCCUUGGCAGUGUCCCACCAGCUCCACACCUCCCUCUGCUCCCGUCCACCAAGUAAGUUUUUAUCCGUGGUGAUAUCCCUGCCACAGCAAUCCCAAAGUCCCCAUCACAAUUCCCAUCCCAAAGAUAAGCCGCGUGAAUCCUCCCCUCCCAUUCCUUUCCCUUUCCAUCCCACCAUGCUACAAAUAUAUGUGCUUUUUCUGUUAUUUACUAUAUAACUGCUAUGAUAUCAUAAAAUGUUGAGGGUUUAGAGUAGUUGUUUGUUGCUGCCCAAUUGAUUGGUGAUUGCUGUCGAUGUUGGUGGUCGCGGUGAGCUAUUCUGGCUUCUUUUUUAUUCUGAUGUUUUUGGACUACAUUUCCCAGCAUUCCCAAGCUCAUUGAUCUCUGAACAGUUUCCAAUGGGGGCUCCCAUUGGAACCUUCCCAUUCCCUACCCUGGUUCCACUGUCAAUCUGUUUGGGUAGUGCGACAUAUGGCUUCUGGAGGUGUGUUAUGAAAUGUUUUAUAAAUGUUUUCGAAAUGUUUUUGAAAAUGUGGGUUGCUAUUUGGCUUGGUCCCCCACCCACCUAGCCCGCUAAGAGUUAUAGUUAAACUUCUCACCCACGUGGGGGAUGGGAGAGGCUCAUUCAGAUGUAGGUCAUGGUGUUUAAUGUCCCCCUCCCACAAACCACUGACAGUCUAGAAGGAGCAAACCCCUGGCCCAGUCCACAUUUCCUCCCCCUUCCCUUGACCGUCCUCCUUUCUGCCCCACAUCUGAAACACUGCAUGCCCCUGUAAACAGACUCGGAGUUAAAGUAUAAAUUAAUUUAUUUUAACAUAACCAAGAGAUAGAACAAAGGAGGCCUAGGUGUUGUUGUCAGCAAUAUAUCUUGCCAUACAAUCAUGCACAAGGGCCGCCCGACCAGUCUCUCCUUGAGGAUUUCUCCUCGGUCCCUGUGCUGCUGCUGCCCAGACACAUCUCUGUUGCCUGGCCACUGCCUGUCAUGUUUCUUCCCAUGACUCAUAGAUUUCAUAGACAUUAGGGCUGGAAAGGACCUCAGAAGAUCUUUGAAUCUAGCCCCCUGCCCCAGGGGCAGGAAGUCAGCAGGGAUCAUAGGAUCCCAGCACGAUAAACAUCCAAAUUUCUCUUGAAGCCAAUCAAAGUAGGUGCUUGAACCAGCUCUGGUGGCAGGCUAUUCCAGACCUUGGGGGCUGUGGCAGGGCACUGUGUGUGCCAGCCACUUUAAGGGCCUGGAGCUGGUAGCCACCAGGUGCCUGAUGAGGGCAGCCAUUUUGAGUCAAGGGCUGUCUAUAUAAACAGGGCAAUUCGGGCUGCUGGAGGCCAGGCAACAACAUCGCCUGGCCGGAAGGCUGCAGAUCUACAGCUGGAGGUAAGGGAGGAGCUGUAGGGGAUGGUCAGGAGGCUCCUGGUCCUGGGCAUGACCUAAAACUGCACCCUGCUGGGGGUGGGUGGCCUGGUAGGGCUCUCGGUGGUGCAGGAGCCCCCAGGAAAUGCCAGGCCAGUUACCACCCCGGUGAAAGGUGGGUCGGGGCGCCUUAACCCCUAACUCCCACCACUGGGUGGGUAACCCCAUUUGUGUGAAGGGCCCAGAGGGCAGACCCCUGGAGAGAGUGAGGGGCUAGAGACUUGGACCUGAACAAGAGAGUACCCUCAACUGGCCCAUGCUGGGGCCAGGACCAGGAUGGUCAAAAGGGUCAGGGGCCCACCACGAGGGAUGCCCAAGAGCCGGGGGCCUGGGGUCCCGACUGGCCUGGAGGUGGGCCAGGGCUGGUAGCCAGAAGUCCCAGGGGGACCACACCUGAAAGGAGAAAAUAGUUUCAAGGAGCUAGGUAGCCUGAAUGAAGGCGGGGUAGGCCGCCUGAAUGGAGGGAUCUUGGAGGGGUCCUGAUAGGCAGAUUCUGGGGCCCAGUGUAGGGGCUGGUGAUUGAUAAGAACACCUAGAUGCCAUCUGCGAGGCUUGGGCUGCAGUGUAGGGGAGGAAAGGAGCCGCAGAGCCCCCCCUGGAAUCGGGGCAGAAAAAUGGGCAGCUUCCCACUUAAUUGACAUCUAUUAAUUAAUCAACAUCAAGGCGUGGCGGACGAGAAGGCGGGUGGUUGGCCCAAGAACAGGUGGGCAGGCCACGGAGAUCAGCCCAAGUAGGCCCCCUGUUACAGGGGCUCAGACAGUAAAGAAGUUCUUCCUUAUGUCCAGCCAGAAACAGUCCUGGAGGAGUUUGUGACCGUUUGACCUUGUCAUCCCUUGGAGCACUCUGGUGAACAGACAUUCCCCCAGAUCCUGAUGUGGGAGACAACCCGGGUAUGGAGACUUUCAGCACCAGGAUUGGGCAGGAGGAGGAGGAGGUGCCAGCAGCAGCCCCGCCUGAGGGUUUCACGAGGGAAACCAUGAGCAAGUCUUAGCUGUAUGCAAACCGCUCCCUGCUCCCUGAUGACCAUGACUGGCAGGAAGAACCAUAGGUCACCAUACACUUAAUGCCAGUUUGCCCCUCUGUUCCACGGACCAGCACAGAUGAUGAAGUGAAGGAGAUGGAGGGUCAGGAAGAAACCCAUGCAGCCAAUACAUCAUCUGCUGCUGUCGAGACCCAAGAACUUGCUGGACUACCCACUGCAACCCAUGGCCACCUGGAACAACCCCCAUGUCACACUACAACAGAGCACUGCAGAGAUUUUCACAGCAAGCAGCGACGGUUCCACAAAAGCUUGCACGAGGCUUUGGCGGAGUUCUCACUAGCCAGAGCAGUAUGCGCAGAUGCCUAACAGGACAAACUCCUUGAGUUGCUGCAUAAGAAUGAUGCCAUCCUCGAGGAAGUGCAAGACACCAUGCGGAAUUUGAAAGAAAUAUUUGACAAGUCCCGUGUCAAAUUACAGAGGUCAUAGGAAAAUUUCAGUGAUGCCUUUCAGAGUGUGCAGAAGUACCUCUUAAAUAAAUGGGUGCCACCCCCAAAAGGGAAAAGUUGGUCCACUUGGCUUGCCUCUGUGCAGGAAAAACCCAGAGGGAGAAUUACAGCUGAGCCUGUUCCCCCUAACUCAGUAGGGUCAUGGGAGGGCCAUACAACUACCAGCAGGGCCAGGAGGUUGCCACCAAAUUUCAGAGAGAUGGGGCGGUUCAGGGUCAUGGUCCAGUGAAGGCAAAGAAGCCCAAGUAACUGCUUACAAUACUGUGUUCCAAAGAAUAAAACGUCAUGGUUUCCUGA
Long non-coding RNA from Alligator mississippiensis (American alligator), 3477 nucleotides. RefSeq lists it as uncharacterized. The transcript is spliced from 5 exons. The record is from RefSeq and is a predicted model, not a curated record. NCBI's taxonomy places the organism in Eukaryota, Metazoa, Chordata, Crocodylia, Alligatoridae.